AAGUCGAGCGGACCAAUAGAAAAGCUUGCUUUUCUUGAGGUUAGCGGCGGACGGGUGAGUAACACGUGGGCAACCUACCUGUAAGACUGGGAUAACUUACGGAAACGUGAGCUAAUACCGGAUAGUUUCACUUCUCGCAUGAGAAGUGAAGGAAAGAUGGCUUCUAGCUACCACUUACAGAUGGGCCCGCGGCGCAUUAGCUAGUUGGUGGGGUAAAGGCCUACCAAGGCAACGAUGCGUAGCCGACCUGAGAGGGUGAUCGGCCACACUGGGACUGAGACACGGCCCAGACUCCUACGGGAGGCAGCAGUAGGGAAUCUUCCGCAAUGGACGAAAGUCUGACGGAGCAACGCCGCGUGAGCGAAGAAGGUCUUCGGAUCGUAAAGCUCUGUUGUUAGGGAAGAACAAGUACCGGAGUAACUGACGGUACCUUGACGGUACCUAACCAGAAAGCCACGGCUAACUACGUGCCAGCAGCCGCGGUAAUACGUAGGUGGCAAGAGUUGUCCGGAAUCAUUGGGCGUAAAGCGCGCGCAGGCGGUCCUUUAAGUCUGAUGUGAAAUCUUGCGGCUCAACCGUAAGCGGUCAUUGGAAACUGGGGGACUUGAGUGCAGGAGAGGAAAGCGGAAUUCCAUGUGUAGCGGUGAAAUGCGUAGAGAUAUGGAGGAACACCAGUGGCGAAGGCGGCUUUCUGGCCUGUAACUGACGCUGAGGCGCGAAAGCGUGGGGAGCAAACAGGAUUAGAUACCCUGGUAGUCCACGCCGUAAACGAUGAGUGCUAAGCGUUGGAGGGUUUCCGCUCUUCAGUGCUGCAGCUAACGCAUUAAGCACUCCGCCUGGGGAGUACGGUCGCAAGACUGAAACUCAAAGGAAUUGACGGGGACCCCGCACAAGCGGUGGAGCAUGUGGUUUAAUUCGAAAGCAACGCGAAGAACCUUACCAGGUCCUGACAUCUCCUGACCACCCUAGAGAUAGGGCUUUCCCUUCGGGGACAGGAUGACAGGGGGUGCAUGGUUGUC
Molecule: ribosomal RNA, 1019 nt
Filed under: Bacillus sp. (in: firmicutes)
Lineage: Bacteria; Bacillati; Bacillota; Bacilli; Caryophanales; Bacillaceae
Description: bacterial SSU rRNA
Rfam family: Bacterial small subunit ribosomal RNA
Source: RNAcentral